RNAcentral lists this long non-coding RNA (377 nucleotides) under Aquilegia coerulea. Its description in RNAcentral is "long non-coding RNA (ACOE_LNC001039)". The record is from RNAcentral. Lineage: Eukaryota; Viridiplantae; Streptophyta; Magnoliopsida; Ranunculales; Ranunculaceae.
UUAGGGGUGGCAAUCGUGUCGGGUCGUGUCGGGUUCAGGUCGGGUCUUAACAGGUUGGGGUGUUUUUUGCUUAAACCCGAACCUGACCUGUUAACCUGUUUAACUCUUUUUCCUUAAACCCGAACCUGACCUGCUAAUUAAACAGGUCGGGUUCAGGUUGACCUGUUUAAACCUGCUUCUUAGCUUAGGAGAAAUAUUGUUACCAGAAAACGAAGAAUUCGGAAACCUUUGUAGAGAACUUGGAAUACUACCACUGAGACUAUUAUUUGCUAGAUUCAAUUGUUGUAAAACGAGCAAGUUAAGCUCAGGAAUUUCGCCAGAAAACAAGUUGUUUGCAAGAUUUAAAGCUGUUAAAUGGGUCAAAUUCGACAAGGAUG